Molecule: ribosomal RNA, 482 nt
Filed under: uncultured bacterium
Lineage: Bacteria
Description: partial 16S ribosomal RNA
Rfam family: Bacterial small subunit ribosomal RNA
Source: RNAcentral
GAUGAACGCUAGCGGCAGGCCUAAUACAUGCAAGUCGGACGGGAUUCAGGAGCUUGCUUCUGAUGAGAGUGGCGCACGGGUGCGUAACACGUAUGUAACCUACCUUUAUCAGGGGGAUAGCCUCUCGAAAGAGAGAUUAAGCCCGCAUAAAAUCACAGCACAGCAUUGUGUAAUGAUCAAAUAUUUAUAGGAUAAAGAUGGGCAUGCGGAACAUUAGCUAGAUGGCGGGGUAACGGCCCACCAUGGCGACGAUGUUUAGGGGAUCUGAGAGGAUGGCCCCCCACACUGGUACUGAGACACGGACCAGACUCCUACGGGAGGCAGCAGUAAGGAAUAGUGGUCAAUGGGCGGAAGCCUGAACCAGCCAUGCCGCGUGCAGGAAGACGGCCCUACGGGUUGUAAACUGCUUUUAUACGGGAAUAAACCCAGAUACGUGUAUCUGGCUGAAUGUACUGUAAGAAUAAGAAUCGGCUAACUCCGUG